GAUUCGAGCACCCCUAAAAUGAACGAAAUUGUAUUAGAUUAAAAAUAUCAACCUGCCAAAACAACAGCAACACAUCAAAGUCGACAACGGCACCAUUUUAAGCUGACUUGAUUCCCUCACAAACAAAAAUAUCAGGAUUAACCGUCCCCUCAGAAACCUCAGGACAGCGAGGACACGGUGGAUCUCUGUGAGGAAAUGCUGCAGAUCUCCAUGUUGGUGAAGGAGCUGCCGGCGUCGCUGCUGCAUUCUGGGUAGGAGGAGCUGGAGGAGAUGAUGUUCUUCAGCCGGUGGAGAGCGAUGAUGAGGAGGGUGAGCAGGAACAGAAGCAGGCUGAGGAAGAUGGAGAUGUAGACGUAAACAUUAGCAGUCCGUCCGUAGGAGGCAGCGGCCACUCCGGUGGACACGGACACUGUAGGGCUGAAGCGCAGGAAACUCUGGCUGUUCACUUCUGUCGCGUUGU
Molecule: long non-coding RNA, 460 nt
Filed under: Danio rerio (zebrafish)
Lineage: Eukaryota; Metazoa; Chordata; Actinopteri; Cypriniformes; Danionidae
Description: si:ch211-170h2.5 (ENSDARG00000098015.2)
Source: RNAcentral